Long non-coding RNA from Phyllopteryx taeniolatus (common seadragon), 769 nucleotides. RefSeq lists it as uncharacterized. The transcript has 2 exons. Lineage: Eukaryota; Metazoa; Chordata; Actinopteri; Syngnathiformes; Syngnathidae. The record is from RefSeq and is a predicted model, not a curated record.
GUGCCUGGUUCAUGUUCUGCGGUUCCUCCAGCACCAUGAUGUCAACAAUCUUGUCUUCGAAAGUUGCCUCGUCUUUAACAGUCUCAGUCAUGUUGCAGUCUGCAUACUCUGUGUCCGGAUCGCUUCUGGUUUUCUGAGAAGAUACACCAAGUACUCUCCUGCCUGCCUCUCUGAUCACCUUGGCUGCAGUGGUCCAGUCUUCUGGAAGCUCCUCCUGUUCACCGAGAGCCUGUCUCACCUCUUCACGACAAGCCGCACAACACUCGUCCUGUCUCAGCUUCCAACACAUGGUUCUCUGCUCUGCCUUUGUCUUCCUAAUCUUCCUCCCCAACUAACUUUUGUUACCAGGGUUGAAAACAUUGGCAAAGGUGAAUUAAUCCAUAGACACAGAUACUUUUGAUGAUGGAACAUCAAAAUCUCAUAUACUGUUACUUUGAUUCAGGCUGAAAUUGUGUCCACCACGACAACGUUGAUGUCAUAGAAACAUAAAAUGACAAGUAAUGAAGCAAUAAUUUAUUAAUGAUGAUGAUGAUGAUGAUGAUGAUGACUGUCACAUGGAAAUGUUCUUGACAAAAUUUUGAAAAUAUGGAGAUUCAGACAAAUUAUUCUGGAAGUUAAUUUUUAUAGGUUGGCAGCUCUGCAGUAUGGUGAUGGGGCAAAAUAUCGAGACAGCAGUGCCGUGCAUCUGCUGCUAUCUAUUCUGUUAAGUUUGUUAUGACCUAAGUCCAUACAUUGUACAGUACAUUUAAUAAACAUUUGUAUACAUACA